AGUGAACGCUGGCGGUAGGCCUAACACAUGCAAGUCGAACGGCAGCACAGUAAGAGCUUGCUCUUACGGGUGGCGAGUGGCGGACGGGUGAGGAAUACAUCGGAAUCUACUUUUUCGUGGGGGAUAACGUAGGGAAACUUACGCUAAUACCACAUACGACCUACGGGUGAAAGCAGGGGAUCUUCGGACCUUGCGCGAUUGAAUGAGCCGAUGUCGGAUUAGCUAGUUGGCGGGGUAAAGGCCCACCAAGGCGACGAUCCGUAGCUGGUCUGAGAGGAUGAUCAGCCACACUGGAACUGAGACACGGUCCAGACUCCUACGGGAGGCAGCAGUGGGGAAUAUUGGACAAUGGGCGCAAGCCUGAUCCAGCCAUACCGCGUGGGUGAAGAAGGCCUUCGGGUUGUAAAGCCCUUUUGCUGGGAAAGAAAAGCAGCAGGUUAAUACCCCGCUGUUCUGACGGUACCCAAAGAAUAAGCACCGGCUAACUUCGUG
This 492-nucleotide ribosomal RNA is filed under the name uncultured bacterium. RNAcentral's name for it is "partial 16S ribosomal RNA". It matches the Rfam family "Bacterial small subunit ribosomal RNA", at positions 29 to 507 of the family's 1533-position model. The record is from RNAcentral.